Molecule: ribosomal RNA, 233 nt
Filed under: uncultured bacterium
Lineage: Bacteria
Description: partial 16S ribosomal RNA
Rfam family: Bacterial small subunit ribosomal RNA
Source: RNAcentral
UACGGAGGGUGCAAGCGUUAUCCGGAUUUACUGGGUUUAAAGGGUGUGUAGGCGGAUUAUUAAGUCAGCGGUGAAAUCCCCGGGCUCAACCCGGAAACUGCCAUUGAUACUAUUAGUCUUGAAUAUUGUUGAGGUGGGCGGAACGGGUCAUGAUAGCGGUGAAAUGCAUAGAUAUGACCCGGAACACCGAUUGCGAAGGCAGCCCACUAAGCAAUGAUUGACGCUGAGGCACG